CGACGUGCCUAAGAAAUGCAAGUCGAGCGAGGCCAUGGAGCUUGCUCCGGAAGCCUAGCGGCGAACGGUCGCGUAACACGUAAGCAACCUGCCCCAAAGUUUGGGAUAGCCCUCCGAAAGGGGGAUUAAUACCGGAUGUGGAUGUCGAUAUGCAUGUAUUGACAUCUAAAGCAUUUAUGCGCUUUGGGAUGGGCUUGCGGCCUAUCAGCUAGUUGGUGAGGUAACGGCUCACCAAGGCGACGACGGGUAGCUGGUCUGAGAGGAUGGUCAGCCGGACUGGGACUGAGACACGGCCCAGACUCCUACGGGGGGCAGCAAUUAGGAAUCUUGCGCAAUGGGCGAAAGCCUGACGCAGCGACGUCGCGUGAACGAUGAAGUCUUUCGGGAUGUAAAGUUCUUUUCUGAGGGAAGAAGGAUGUGACGGUACCUCAGGAAUAAGCCCCGGCUAACUACGUGCCAGCAGCCGCGGUAAUACGUAGGGGGCGAGCGUUGUCCGAAUUUACUGGGCGUAAAGCGCGCGUAGGCGGACUCUUAAGUUGGUGGUGAAAUGCCGAGGCUCAACCUCGGAACUGCCUUCAAAACUGGGAGUCUAGAGGCUUGGAGAGGGAAGUGGAAUUCCUGGUGUAGCGGUGAAAUGCGUAGAUAUCAGGAGGAACACCGAUGGCGAAGGCAGCUUCCUGGCCAUGUCCUGACGCUGAGGUGCGAAAGCUAGGGUAGCGAACGGGAUUAGAUA
This 733-nucleotide ribosomal RNA is filed under the name uncultured organism. RNAcentral describes it as "bacterial SSU rRNA". It matches the Rfam family "Bacterial small subunit ribosomal RNA", at positions 40 to 784 of the family's 1533-position model. The record is from RNAcentral.